This 434-nucleotide ribosomal RNA is filed under the name uncultured bacterium. Its description in RNAcentral is "partial 16S ribosomal RNA". It matches the Rfam family "Bacterial small subunit ribosomal RNA", at positions 29 to 507 of the family's 1533-position model. The record is from RNAcentral.
AGCGAACGCUGGCGGCAGGCCUAACACAUGCAAGUCGAACGAACCUUUCGGGGUUAGUGGCGGACGGGUGAGUAACACGUGGGAACGUGCCUUUAGGUUCGGAAUAACUCAGGGAAACUUGUGCUAAUACCGAAUGUGCCCUUCGGGGGAAAGAUUAAUCGCCUUUAGAGCGGCCCGCGUCUGAUUAGCUAGUUGGUUGGGGUAAUGGCUCACCAAGGCGACGAUCAGUAGCUGGUCUGAGAGGAUGAUCCGCCACAUUGGGACUGAGACACGGCCCAAACUCCUACGGGAGGCAGGAGUGGGGAAUCUUGCGCAAUGGGCGAAAGCCUGACGCAGCCAUGCCGCGUGAAUGAUGAAGGUCUUAGGAUUGUAAAAUUCUUUCACCGGGGACGAUAAUGACGGUACCCGGAGAAGAAGCCCCGGCUAACUUCGUG